RNAcentral lists this long non-coding RNA (369 nucleotides) under Anser brachyrhynchus (Pink-footed goose). RNAcentral describes it as "lncRNA (ENSABRG00000019745.1)". Lineage: Eukaryota; Metazoa; Chordata; Aves; Anseriformes; Anatidae. The record is from RNAcentral.
CUGCCCGUGGCUUUUCUCUAAAAGCCCAUAUUUCAGUUUCAGAAGCUGAACCUGGGAAACACUAUGAAUUGCAGCCAGUGCUGAGCUACCAGCCACCUUUGGAGGGAGCUUGCAGUGGGCAAAGAGGACAAGAACAGAACAUCUAUGAAGACCAACCUCUAAUUUUCCAGGUCCUUUCCCAUGUUGGAUAUCUCUAUUACUGAAUCACUUCUGCUGCUCAAGCACCCAUCGCUCUGUUCUAAUAUCUUUGACUGGAGAAAGCUGGUGUUGGGUCUCCAGGCUGUCCCGGCAACUCUUAAUUACUCUGGACAACAAAAUAUAAGAAAGCUGCUGUUACCUGAACCCUGGCAUCUCAGAGAGCUUUGUUGA